This 395-nucleotide ribosomal RNA is filed under the name Tetrapachylasma sp. BKKC-2017. Its description in RNAcentral is "partial 12S ribosomal RNA". It matches the Rfam family "Microsporidia small subunit ribosomal RNA", at positions 649 to 1215 of the family's 1311-position model. Lineage: Eukaryota; Metazoa; Arthropoda; Thecostraca; Balanomorpha; Pachylasmatidae. The record is from RNAcentral.
AAUGGACCAGGAUUAGAUACCCUGUUACUUUCAAUAAAGAUAUUUUGGAACAUUAGUAGUAAUGAAAUUUAGCGGAUUUGGCGGCAAGACAGCCCAUUUAGAGGAACCUGCCCUGUAAACGAUGAACCACGAUGAACUUUAUUCUUGUUAGAAGACAGUUUGUAUACCGCUGUUGUAAGUUAGUUUUUUUAGAAAACUUUCAAUAAUGGGAUUGCCAUUGACUUCAAGUAAAGGUGCAGCUUAUGCAAGAGAUAGAGGUGGGUUACAAUUAGUUAGAUUAAAACGGAAGAAGUAAUAUGAAAAAACUUUUGAAGGAGGAUUUAAGAGUAAAACUUAGAAAGGUUUGAUGAGAGCACUGUCUUGUGUACACACCGCCCGUCGCUCUCUUUUUAAAA